UGCAGAGGCCCGAGGCCUCAAAGGCUGCGUCUCAAACGGAAGGUAACUGCCUCACUCCCUACACCCUUAGCAGUGAGCUCCCUCUGAAAGGUAACUCCCUACACCCUUAGCAGUGAGCUCCCUCUGAAAGGUAACUCCCUACACCCUUAGCAGUGAGCUCCCUCUGAAAGGUAACUCCCUACACCCUUAGCAGUGAGCUCCCUCUGAAAGGUAACUCCCUACACCCUUAGCAGUGAGCUUCCUCUGAAGGUAACUGCCUCGCUCCCUACACCCUUAGCAGUGAGCUCCCUCUGAAAGGUAACUCCC
Long non-coding RNA from Anguilla anguilla (European eel), 306 nucleotides. RefSeq lists it as uncharacterized. The transcript has 3 exons. Lineage: Eukaryota; Metazoa; Chordata; Actinopteri; Anguilliformes; Anguillidae. The record is from RefSeq and is a predicted model, not a curated record.